AGAGUUUGAUCCUGGCUCAGGAUGAACGCUAGCGGCAGGCCUAACACAUGCAAGUCGAGGGGCAGCGGGAAUAAGCUUGCUUUUUUGGCGGCGACCGGCGCACGGGUGAGUAACGCGUAUGCAACCUACCUUAUACUGAGGGAUAGCCCGGAGAAAUUCGGAUUAAUACUCCAUCGUAUUACGAUGUGGCAUCACAAUGUAAUUAAAGCUCCGGCGGAAGAGGAUGAGCAUGCGUCCCAUUAGUUUGUGGUUGAGGUAACGGCUCACCAAGACUACGAUGGGUAGGGGGCCUGAGAGGGUGAACCCCCACACUGGUACUGAGACACGGACCAGACUCCUACGGGAGGCAGCAGUGAGGAAUAUUGGUCAAUGGAGGAAACUCUGAACCAGCCAUGCCGCGUGCAGGAUGACGGCCCUACGGGUUGUAAACUGCUUUUAUUUGGGAAGAACCCCCUCUACGUGUAGAGGGCUGACGGUACCAAACGAAUAAGGACCGGCUAACUCCGUGCCAGCAGCCGCGGUAAUACGGAGGGUCCAAGCGUUAUCCGGAUUUAUUGGGUUUAAAGGGUGCGUAGGCGGGAAAUUAAGUCAGUGGUGAAAGCCCACAGCUCAACUGUGGAAUUGCCAUUGAUACUGAUUUUCUUGAAUGCGGUUGAAGUGGGCGGAAUAUGUCAUGUAGCGGUGAAAUGCUUAGAUAUGACAUAGAACACCGAUUGCGAAGGCAGCUCACUAAACCGUGAUUGACGCUAAGGCACGAAAGCGUGGGGAGCGAACAGGAUUAGAUACCCUGGUAGUCCACGCUGUAAACGAUGAUCACUCGACAUUGGCGAUAUACUGUCAGUGUCCAAGCGAAAGUGUUAAGUGAUCCACCUGGGGAGUACGAUCGCAAGGUUGAAACUCAAAGGAAUUGACGGGGGCCCGCACAAGCGGUGGAGCAUGUGGUUUAAUUCGAUGAUACGCGAGGAACCUUACCAGGGCUUAAAUGCAAUAUGACAGAUUGGGAAACCAGUCCUCCUUCGGGCAAAUUGCAAGGUGCUGCAUGGUUGUCGUCAGCUCGUGCCGUGAGGUGUUGGGUUAAGUCCCGUAACGAGCGCAACCCCUAUCCUUAGUUGCCAGCGAGUAAUGUCGGGGACUCUAGAGAAACUGCCCGCGCAAGCGGUGAGGAAGGUGGGGACGACGUCAAGUCAUCACGGCCCUUACGUCCAGGGCUACACACGUGCUACAAUGGUAGAGACAGAGGGCAGCCACUUGGUGACAAGGAGCAAAUCUUAAAAGCCUAUCUCAGUUCGGAUUGGAGUCUGCAACUCGACUUCAUGAAGCUGGAAUCGCUAGUAAUCGCAUAUCAGCCAUGAUGCGGUGAAUACGUUCCCGGGCCUUGUACACACCGCCCGUCAAGCCAUGGAAGCUGAGGGUACCUGAAGUCAGUAACCGUAAGGAGCUGCCUAGGGUAAAAUCGGUAACUGGGGCUAAGUCGUAACAAGGUAACC
Molecule: ribosomal RNA, 1487 nt
Filed under: uncultured prokaryote
Description: partial 16S ribosomal RNA
Rfam family: Bacterial small subunit ribosomal RNA
Source: RNAcentral